GAUGAAGAACGUAGCGAAACGCGAUAGGUAAUGUGAAUUGCAGAAUUCCGUGAAUCAUCGAAUCUUUGAACGCACAUUGCGCCCGCCAGCAUUCUGGCGGGCAUGCCUGUUCGAGCGUCAUUUCAACCCUCGAGCCCCCCCGGGGGCCUCGGUGUUGGGGGACGGCACACCAGCCGCCCCCGAAAUGCAGUGGCGACCCCGCCGCAGCCUCCCCUGCGUAGUAGCACACACCUCGCACCGGAGCGCGGAGGCGGUCACGCCGUAAAACGCCCAACUUUCUUAGAGUUGACCUCGGAUCAGGUAGGAAUACCCGCUGAACUUAAGCAUAUCAAUAAGCGGAGGA
This 343-nucleotide unclassified non-coding RNA is filed under the name soil metagenome. RNAcentral describes it as "partial contains 5.8S ribosomal RNA, internal transcribed spacer 2, and large subunit ribosomal RNA". The stretch from base 1 to 120 matches the Rfam family "5.8S ribosomal RNA", at positions 35 to 154 of the family's 154-position model. The record is from RNAcentral.